GAUGAACGCUGGCGGCGUGCCUAAUACAUGCAAGUCGAGCGAACAGACGAGGAGCUUGCUCCUCUGACGUUAGCGGCGGACAGGUGAGUAACACGUGGAUAACCUACCUAUAAGACUGGGAUAACUUCGGGAAACCGGAGCUAAUACCGGAUAAUAUAUUGAACCGCAUGGUUCAAUAGUGAAAGACGGUUUUGCUGUCACUUAUAGAUGGAUCCGCGCCGCAUUAGCUAGUUGGUAAGGUAACGGCUUACCAAGGCGACGAUGCGUAGCCGACCUGAGAGGGUGAUCGCCCACACUGGAACUGAGACACGGUCCAGACUCCUACGGGAGGCAGCAGUAGGGAAUCUUCCGCAAUGGGCGAAAGCCUGACGGAGCAACGCCGCGUGAGUGAUGAAGGUCUUCGGAUCGUAAAACUCUGUUAUUAGGGAAGAACAAAUGUGUAAGUAACUAUGCACGUCUUGACGGUACCUAAUCAGAAAGCAACGGCUAACUACGUG
Molecule: ribosomal RNA, 497 nt
Filed under: uncultured bacterium
Lineage: Bacteria
Description: partial 16S ribosomal RNA
Rfam family: Bacterial small subunit ribosomal RNA
Source: RNAcentral